Molecule: ribosomal RNA, 2110 nt
Filed under: Escherichia coli
Lineage: Bacteria; Pseudomonadati; Pseudomonadota; Gammaproteobacteria; Enterobacterales; Enterobacteriaceae
Description: partial 23S ribosomal RNA
Rfam family: Bacterial large subunit ribosomal RNA
Source: RNAcentral
GGUUAAGCGACUAAGCGUACACGGUGGAUGCCCUGGCAGUCAGAGGCGAUGAAGGACGUGCUAAUCUGCGAUAAGCGUCGGUAAGGUGAUAUGAACCGUUAUAACCGGCGAUUUCCGAAUGGGGAAACCCAGUGUGUUUCGACACACUAUCAUUAACUGAAUCCAUAGGUUAAUGAGGCGAACCGGGGGAACUGAAACAUCUAAGUACCCCGAGGAAAAGAAAUCAACCGAGAUUCCCCCAGUAGCGGCGAGCGAACGGGGAGCAGCCCAGAGCCUGAAUCAGUGUGUGUGUUAGUGGAAGCGUCUGGAAAGGCGCGCGAUACAGGGUGACAGCCCCGUACACAAAAAUGCACAUGCUGUGAGCUCGAUGAGUAGGGCGGGACACGUGGUAUCCUGUCUGAAUAUGGGGGGACCAUCCUCCAAGGCUAAAUACUCCUGACUGACCGAUAGUGAACCAGUACCGUGAGGGAAAGGCGAAAAGAACCCCGGCGAGGGGAGUGAAAAAGAACCUGAAACCGUGUACGUACAAGCAGUGGGAGCACGCUUAGGCGUGUGACUGCGUACCUUUUGUAUAAUGGGUCAGCGACUUAUAUUCUGUAGCAAGGUUAACCGAAUAGGGGAGCCGAAGGGAAACCGAGUCUUAACUGGGCGUUAAGUUGCAGGGUAUAGACCCGAAACCCGGUGAUCUAGCCAUGGGCAGGUUGAAGGUUGGGUAACACUAACUGGAGGACCGAACCGACUAAUGUUGAAAAAUUAGCGGAUGACUUGUGGCUGGGGGUGAAAGGCCAAUCAAACCGGGAGAUAGCUGGUUCUCCCCGAAAGCUAUUUAGGUAGCGCCUCGUGAAUUCAUCUCCGGGGGUAGAGCACUGUUUCGGCAAGGGGGUCAUCCCGACUUACCAACCCGAUGCAAACUGCGAAUACCGGAGAAUGUUAUCACGGGAGACACACGGCGGGUGCUAACGUCCGUCGUGAAGAGGGAAACAACCCAGACCGCCAGCUAAGGUCCCAAAGUCAUGGUUAAGUGGGAAACGAUGUGGGAAGGCCCAGACAGCCAGGAUGUUGGCUUAGAAGCAGCCAUCAUUUAAAGAAAGCGUAAUAGCUCACUGGUCGAGUCGGCCUGCGCGGAAGAUGUAACGGGGCUAAACCAUGCACCGAAGCUGCGGCAGCGACGCUUAUGCGUUGUUGGGUAGGGGAGCGUUCUGUAAGCCUGUGAAGGUGUGCUGUGAGGCAUGCUGGAGGUAUCAGAAGUGCGAAUGCUGACAUAAGUAACGAUAAAGCGGGUGAAAAGCCCGCUCGCCGGAAGACCAAGGGUUCCUGUCCAACGUUAAUCGGGGCAGGGUGAGUCGACCCCUAAGGCGAGGCCGAAAGGCGUAGUCGAUGGGAAACAGGUUAAUAUUCCUGUACUUGGUGUUACUGCGAAGGGGGGACGGAGAAGGCUAUGUUGGCCGGGCGACGGUUGUCCCGGUUUAAGCGUGUAGGCUGGUUUUCCAGGCAAAUCCGGAAAAUCAAGGCUGAGGCGUGAUGACGAGGCACUACGGUGCUGAAGCAACAAAUGCCCUGCUUCCAGGAAAAGCCUCUAAGCAUCAGGUAACAUCAAAUCGUACCCCAAACCGACACAGGUGGUCAGGUAGAGAAUACCAAGGCGCUUGAGAGAACUCGGGUGAAGGAACUAGGCAAAAUGGUGCCGUAACUUCGGGAGAAGGCACGCUGAUAUGUAGGUGAAGUCCCUCGCGGAUGGAGCUGAAAUCAGUCGAAGAUACCAGCUGGCUGCAACUGUUUAUUAAAAACACAGCACUGUGCAAACACGAAAGUGGACGUAUACGGUGUGACGCCUGCCCGGUGCCGGAAGGUUAAUUGAUGGGGUCAGCGCAAGCGAAGCUCUUGAUCGAAGCCCCGGUAAACGGCGGCCGUAACUAUAACGGUCCUAAGGUAGCGAAAUUCCUUGUCGGGUAAGUUCCGACCUGCACGAAUGGCGUAAUGAUGGCCAGGCUGUCUCCACCCGAGACUCAGUGAAAUUGAACUCGCUGUGAAGAUGCAGUGUACCCGCGGCAAGACGGAAAGACCCCGUGAACCUUUACUAUAGCUUGACACUGAACAUUGAGCCUUGAUG